Molecule: long non-coding RNA, 334 nt
Organism: Oreochromis aureus
Lineage: Eukaryota; Metazoa; Chordata; Actinopteri; Cichliformes; Cichlidae
Source: Ensembl
AAAAAACCUCUAUGAAUUUUACUUACAGCGGCACCCUUCCCAUAAUUUCACUACUCACUUUUUCAGCAGUUUUGAAUCUUCCAAAUGAUGUUUGUCUGACGAGGCACACCUGUGGAAAUGGGAGACUGUGGAGAAAAACGCUGUGGACUGAUUGCUGGAUUCCCCUGCCUGAAGCGCUUCUUUGCCUACGACCUUACCUGUGAACCUUGCCUUUUCAGGUACUGCACUCUCAAAGACUGAAUGAACAGCAUUGCAGCCAUGGGUCACUGUGAGCAUCACAGGGAAGGUUGAAGCCGCCCACUGCACCUGUAUGGCCGGAGUCGUGGAGACCUGC